RNAcentral lists this long non-coding RNA (846 nucleotides) under Gossypium barbadense (sea-island cotton). RNAcentral's name for it is "long non-coding RNA (GBAR_LNC013337)". Lineage: Eukaryota; Viridiplantae; Streptophyta; Magnoliopsida; Malvales; Malvaceae. The record is from RNAcentral.
AAAAAAACACAAAAAAACCUUCAAAAAAGUUCUCUUUCCCCUCAGCACACCCGACCAGGGCUCGUUCAUCGGCCACCGCGCCGGCCGCCAGCCUCCGGUGCUGGCACCGCGGUCUACGGUGGCUGAAAAAGGGGAAAAAUGCCCCUCUCGGCCCUUUCGACCCCUCAAAGCCCGAAUCUGGGUUUAGAUCCUUCAAAAUAUCACUGAAAAAGCCCUAAAUCUCGAGAAAAACCAUUCAGCUUCUGACAGUCUAUCCUUGGAGACGGCUACCUCGGCCGUCCACGGCAUUUCGGACACCAAUACAGGUUGUUUCUAUCUUCCUUUUACUCGUUUUAUUCGUAUAUAGAUAAAAAAAAAGGUAAUAACGGCGAUAGAUUUAAAAAAAAAUUGUAGAUGUUAACCUUUUCGAGUUGAUUUUUGCUCUCAAUGUUGAACUCAGUUUUUGCUGUGAAAAUAAUCUCCCUUUUUUAUUUGAUUUUUUGGAUUCGUAUUACAGUGUAUCUAGGGCUAUUUUAUAGCCAUAAUGAAAAAAAUAUAAGGAAAUAAAUCUGUCCAUAUUGAUUUGAUCUUGCAAAUAUUUGAUUUUAUUUCUUUUCUUGUGUUUAUUCCUUGUAGGUGAAGAUUCCUUGCAGGUGAGGAGUGCGAGGCGGCCGUGCGGCGCGAGUUCACCCCUGAAACCCUAGGGUUUCUGAGUUUUUUUGGGCUAGUGGAUUUGGGCCACUGUUCUUGUAUUUUGGGCAUUGUAUUCUGGGCCAACUUGUUUUGUUCUGGAUUUGUAAAAAACACUGGACUUUGUUUAUGCCGGGUAAAAAUUAGGUAUUACAAUCUUAUCAUACGAGGUUAAAG